UGUAUUACUAAGGCGCCCGUACCGCAAACCGACACAGGUAGAUGAGGAGAGAAUCCUAAGGCCAACGGGAGAAGGGUUGUUAAGGAACUCGGCAAAUUGACCCCGUAACUUCGGGAUAAGGGGAGCCGGCCAAGGCCGGCCGCAGUGAAUAGGCCCAAGCAACUGUUUACCAAAAACACAGGUCUCUGCUAAAUCGAAAGAUGACGUAUAGGGGCUGACGCCUGCCCGGUGCCGGAAGGUUAAGAGGAGAGCUUAGCGCAAGCGAAGGUUUGAAUUGAAGCCCCGGUAAACGGCGGCCGUAACGAUAACGGUCCUAAGGUAGCGAAAUUCCUUGUCAGGUAAGUUCUGACCCGCACGAAUGGCGUAAUGAUUUGGGCACUGUCUCAACAGCCCGCCCGGCGAAAUUGUAGUACUGGUGAAGAUGCCAGUUACCCGCAACUAGACGGAAAGACCCCAUGGAGCUUUACUGUAGCUUAAUACUGAAGAUCGGUAAUGCAUGUACAGGAUAGGUGGGAGCCAGCGAAACCGGGCCGUCAGGUUCGGCGGAGGCAACCUUGGAAUACCACCCUUGUAUUGCUGGUUUUCUAACCUGCGGCCGUGAAUCCGGUCGGGGGACACUGUUAGGCGGGCAGUUUGACUGGGGCGGUCGCCUCCAAAAGAGUAACGGAGGCGCUCAAAGGUUGGCUCAGCACGGACGGAAAUCGUGCACAGAGUGCAAACGCAUAAGCCAACUUGACUGCGAGACCGACGGGUCGAGCAGGUACGAAAGUAGGAGUUAGUGAUCCGGUGGUAUGUGAGUGGAAAUGCCAUCGCUCAACGGAUAAAAGCUACCCUGGGAUAACAGGCUGAUCUCCCCCAAGCGUCCACAGCGACGGGGAGGUUUGGCACCUCGAUGUCGGCUCGUCACAUCCUGGGGCUGAAUUCGGUCCCAAGGGUUCGGCUGUUCGCCGAUUAAAGUGGCACGCGAGCUGGGUUCAGAACGUCGUGAGACAGUUCGGUCCCUAUCUGUUGCGGGCGUAGGAGAUUUGAAGGGAGCUGUCCUUAGUACGAGAGGACCGGGAUGGACUGACCUCUGGUGCACCAGUCGUCGUGCCAACGGCACAGCUGGGUAGCUAUGUCGGGACGAGAUAAACGCUGAAGGCAUCUAAGCGUGAAACUCCCCCUAAGAUAAGAUCUCCCAUCCUUUAUGGAGUAAGGGUCCAUGUAGACUACAUGGUUGAUAGGCCGGCGGUGUAAGCGCAGUAAUGUGUUCAGCCUACCGGUACUAAUAGCCCGAGGGCUUGAUCAA
This 1288-nucleotide ribosomal RNA is filed under the name metagenome. RNAcentral describes it as "bacterial LSU rRNA". It matches the Rfam family "Bacterial large subunit ribosomal RNA", at positions 1626 to 2925 of the family's 2925-position model. The record is from RNAcentral.